Molecule: transfer RNA, 73 nt
Filed under: Ictidomys tridecemlineatus (thirteen-lined ground squirrel)
Lineage: Eukaryota; Metazoa; Chordata; Mammalia; Rodentia; Sciuridae
Description: Spermophilus tridecemlineatus (thirteen-lined ground squirrel) tRNA
Rfam family: tRNA
About the family: Transfer RNA (tRNA) molecules are approximately 80 nucleotides in length. Their secondary structure includes four short double-helical elements and three loops (D, anti-codon, and T loops).
Source: Rfam by way of RNAcentral
GGGGAUAUAGCUCAAUUGAUAGAGUACUUGCCUCACAUGCACAAAGCUCUGGGUUGAAUCCCCAGCACCACCA